RNAcentral lists this ribosomal RNA (253 nucleotides) under uncultured bacterium. Its description in RNAcentral is "partial 16S ribosomal RNA". It matches the Rfam family "Bacterial small subunit ribosomal RNA", at positions 524 to 776 of the family's 1533-position model. The record is from RNAcentral.
UACGAAGGGGGCUAGCGUUGCUCGGAAUCACUGGGCGUAAAGCGCACGUAGGCGGCUUUCUAAGUCAGGGGUGAAAUCCUGGAGCUCAACUCCAGAACUGCCUUUGAUACUGGAGAGCUCGAGUCCGGAAGAGGUGAGUGGAACUGCGAGUGUAGAGGUGAAAUUCGUAGAUAUUCGCAAGAACACCAGUGGCGAAGGCGGCUCACUGGACCGGUACUGACGCUGAGGUGCGAAAGCGUGGGGAGCAAACAGG